RNAcentral lists this unclassified non-coding RNA (339 nucleotides) under soil metagenome. RNAcentral describes it as "partial contains 5.8S ribosomal RNA, internal transcribed spacer 2, and large subunit ribosomal RNA". The stretch from base 1 to 120 matches the Rfam family "5.8S ribosomal RNA", at positions 35 to 154 of the family's 154-position model. The record is from RNAcentral.
GAUGAAGAACGUAGCGAAAUGCGAUAACUAAUGUGAAUUGCAGAAUUCAGUGAAUCAUCGAGUCUUUGAACGCACAUUGCGCCCCCUGGUAUUCCGGGGGGCAUGCCUGUCCGAGCGUCAUUGCUGCCCUCAAGCACGGCUUGUGUGUUGGGCUCCGUCCCCCCGGGGACGGGCCCGAAAGGCAGCGGCGGCACCGAGUCCGGUCCUCGAGCGUAUGGGGCUUUGUCACCCGCUCUGUAGGCCCGGCCGGCGCCAGCCGACAACUCAUCAUCCUUUUCAGGUUGACCUCGGAUCAGGUAGGGAUACCCGCUGAACUUAAGCAUAUCAAUAAGCGGAGGA